This 216-nucleotide ribosomal RNA is filed under the name Orbilia oligospora. RNAcentral's name for it is "partial 5.8S ribosomal RNA". The stretch from base 1 to 125 matches the Rfam family "5.8S ribosomal RNA", at positions 30 to 154 of the family's 154-position model. Rfam says of the family: 5.8S ribosomal RNA (5.8S rRNA) is a component of the large subunit of the eukaryotic ribosome. It is transcribed by RNA polymerase I as part of the 45S precursor that also contains 18S and 28S rRNA. The record is from RNAcentral. Lineage: Eukaryota; Fungi; Ascomycota; Orbiliomycetes; Orbiliales; Orbiliaceae.
GCAUCGAUGAAGAACGCAGCGAAACGCGAUAGUUAAUGUGAAUUGCAGAAUUCAGUGAAUCAUCGAGUCUUUGAACGCACAUUGCGCCCAUUGGUAUUCCUUUGGGCAUGUCUGUUUGAGCGUCAUUACAACCCUCAGCUACCCGCUGGUUUUGAACCCGAACGGUUCCCCCUAACCGGGGAACCGAGCCGGUUUUAAAGUUGUAAGCUCUGCUGG